GUUAAUGUAGCUUAUAACAAAGCAAAGCACUGAAAAUGCUUAGAUGGAUUGUUCAAAGAUCCCAUAAACA
This 70-nucleotide transfer RNA is filed under the name Niviventer lotipes. RNAcentral describes it as "tRNA-Phe". It matches the Rfam family "tRNA". Rfam says of the family: Transfer RNA (tRNA) molecules are approximately 80 nucleotides in length. Their secondary structure includes four short double-helical elements and three loops (D, anti-codon, and T loops). The record is from RNAcentral. Lineage: Eukaryota; Metazoa; Chordata; Mammalia; Rodentia; Muridae.